This 423-nucleotide ribosomal RNA is filed under the name Escherichia sp. RNAcentral's name for it is "bacterial SSU rRNA". It matches the Rfam family "Bacterial small subunit ribosomal RNA", at positions 227 to 642 of the family's 1533-position model. Lineage: Bacteria; Pseudomonadati; Pseudomonadota; Gammaproteobacteria; Enterobacterales; Enterobacteriaceae. The record is from RNAcentral.
GUGCCCAGAUGGGAUUAGCUAGUUGGUGGGGUAACGGCUCACCAAGGCGACGAUCCGUAGCUGGUUUGAGAGGAUGACCAGCCACACUGGAACUGAGACACGGUCCAGACUCCUACGGGAGGCAGCAGUGGGGAAUAUUGCACAAUGGGGGCAAGCCUGAUGCAGCCAUCCCGCGUGUAUGAAGAAGGCCUUCGGGUUGUAAAGUACUUUCAGCGGGGAGGAAGGGAGUAAAGUUAAUACCUUUGCUCAUUGACGUUAUCCGCAGAAGAAGCACCGGCUAACUCCGUGCCAGCAGCCGCGGUAAUACGGAGGGUGCAAGCGUUAAUCGGAAUUACUGGGCGUAAAGCGCACGCAGGCGGUUUGGUAAGUCAGAUGUGAAAUCCCCGGGCUCAACCUGGGAACUGCAUUUGAUACUGGCAAGCU